CCUACGGGAGGCAGCAGUGAGGAAUAUUGGUCAAUGGACGAGAGUCUGAACCAGCCAAGUAGCGUGAAGGAUGACUGCCCUAUGGGUUGUAAACUUCUUUUAUAUGGGAAUAAAAUGUUCCACGUGUGGGAUUUUGUAUGUACCAUAUUAAUAAGGAUCGGCUAACUCCGUGCCAGCAGCCGCGGUAAUACGGAGGCUCCGAGCGUUAUCCGGAUUUAUUGGGUUUAAAGGGAGCGUAGGUGGAUUGUUAAGUCAGUUGUGAAAGUUUGCGGCUCAACCGUAAAAUUGCAGUUGAAACUGGCAGUCUUGAGUACAGUAGAGGUGGGCGGAAUUCGUGGUGUAGCGGUGAAAUGCUUAGAUAUCACGAAGAACUCCGAUUGCGAAGGCAGUUCACUGGACUGCAACUGACACUGAGGCUCGAAAGUGUGGGUAUCAAACAGGAUUAGAUACCCGAGUAGUC
RNAcentral lists this ribosomal RNA (460 nucleotides) under uncultured bacterium. RNAcentral describes it as "partial 16S ribosomal RNA". It matches the Rfam family "Bacterial small subunit ribosomal RNA", at positions 338 to 795 of the family's 1533-position model. The record is from RNAcentral.